Molecule: long non-coding RNA, 427 nt
Filed under: Vitis vinifera (wine grape)
Lineage: Eukaryota; Viridiplantae; Streptophyta; Magnoliopsida; Vitales; Vitaceae
Description: long non-coding RNA (VVIN_LNC006295)
Source: RNAcentral
AGGAAUUGUUGGGAUUUGCUUUAUGCUGUGUUUAUGAAUCCAACAAUGGAUUUGUCUUUGAGUCUCGGUAUGAAUCAACUGAUACAUCUGAUAAUGAGCCUGACAAUGGAUCUGCAUAUGAAUCUCAGCAUGAAUCAGCUGAUACAUCUAAUAAUGAACCUGACAAUGGAUCUGCCUAUAAAUCAGCUGAUACAUCUGAUAAUGAACCUGACAAUGGAUCUGCCUAUGAAUCUACCUAUGAAUCUCAGAAUGAAUCAGCUGAUACUUCUAAUAAUGAACCCACCAAUGGAUCUGCCUAUGAAUCUGAAAAUGAAACAGCUCAUACAUCUGAUAAUGAAGAACCAGUGGAGUUCUAUUGUAAUUUGAGUAUCCGAGGAAAUAAUCAAUCAACAGUCGUGGAUUCUUUCAAAUUGGGUUCUUACUGUGC